ACCUGAUGGCAGACGACCGCUGGUGAGUUGUGAAGCUCGCCAGAGGAAAGUCCGAACACCACACGGCAGCAUGCCGCGUAGAAAACGCGGGCGCCGCAUUUUGUAAAAUUGCGGCGACGGAAAGUGCCACAGAAAUGAUACCGCCAGUUCUUUGAGAAAAGUGCAGGCAAGGGUGAAAUGGCGAGGUAAGAGCUCACCGCGCGCGGAGUGAUUCGCGCGGCACGGAAAACCCCAUGCGGUGCAAGACAAAACAGGAGGAGGACAGCCGGUCCGCCAUACCCGAAGUAUUCGGGUCGACCUCCGGGUACGUCGCACCACGUUGCGCGGAAGCGUAGCGGGCGAUUCACGGAAGUGAGUUGAGAUAAAUGGUCGUCGCGGUUGCGAAAUCAGCCGCACAGAAUUCGGCUUACCGCCAUCACAUUAUG
This 425-nucleotide RNase P RNA is filed under the name Verrucomicrobiota bacterium. RNAcentral's name for it is "Verrucomicrobia bacterium RNase P RNA component class A". It matches the Rfam family "Bacterial RNase P class A". From Rfam's summary of the family: Ribonuclease P (RNase P) is a ubiquitous endoribonuclease, found in archaea, bacteria and eukarya as well as chloroplasts and mitochondria. Its best characterised activity is the generation of mature 5'-ends of tRNAs by cleaving the 5'-leader elements of precursor-tRNAs. Cellular RNase Ps are ribonucleoproteins. The record is from RNAcentral. Lineage: Bacteria; Pseudomonadati; Verrucomicrobiota.